GCUCCAGUAGCUUAUA
RNAcentral lists this transfer RNA (16 nucleotides) under Lampropeltis abnorma. RNAcentral describes it as "partial tRNA-Thr". The record is from RNAcentral. Lineage: Eukaryota; Metazoa; Chordata; Lepidosauria; Squamata; Colubridae. RNAcentral also lists the same sequence under 4 other names.